AAGCCCCCCUCAAGAUGAGAUUUCCCAUAGCGCAAGCUAGUAAGAUCCCUGAAAGAUGAUCAGGUUGAUAGGUCAGAGGUGGAAGCGUGGCGACACGUGUAGCUGACUGAUACUAAUCGAUCGAGGACUUAACCAA
RNAcentral lists this ribosomal RNA (136 nucleotides) under Priestia megaterium. RNAcentral's name for it is "partial 23S ribosomal RNA". It matches the Rfam family "Bacterial large subunit ribosomal RNA", at positions 2790 to 2925 of the family's 2925-position model. The record is from RNAcentral. Lineage: Bacteria; Bacillati; Bacillota; Bacilli; Caryophanales; Bacillaceae.